RNAcentral lists this ribosomal RNA (982 nucleotides) under uncultured bacterium. RNAcentral's name for it is "bacterial SSU rRNA". It matches the Rfam family "Bacterial small subunit ribosomal RNA", at positions 145 to 1168 of the family's 1533-position model. The record is from RNAcentral.
AACCAGUCGAAAGAUUGGCUAAUACCGCAUAAGACCACUUUUAUUAGUGGUAAAAGAAUUUCGCUUCGAGAUGAGCCUGCGUAAGAUUAGCUAGUUGGUAGGGUAAUGGCCUACCAAGGCUUUGAUCUUUAACUGGUCUGAGAGGAUGAUCAGUCACACUGGAACUGAGACACGGUCCAGACUCCUACGGGAGGCAGCAGUAGGGAAUAUUGCGCAAUGGGGGAAACCCUGACGCAGCGACGCCGCGUGAGCGAUGAAGGCCUUCGGGUCGUAAAGCUCUGUCGUAUGGGAAUAAUUUUGAAUGUACCAUAUAAGAAAGGAUCGGCUAACUUCGUGCCAGCAGCCGCGGUAAGACGAGGGAUCCUAGCGUUGUUCGGAAUCAUUGGGCGUAAAGCGGGUGUAGGUUGCUUUUUAAGUCAGGUGUGAAAGCCUAGGGCUCAACCCUAGAAGUGCAUCUGAUACUAUUAAGCUUGAGUGUGGAAGAGGCUAUUAGAAUUCCUGGUGUAGUGGUGAAAUACGUAGAUAUCAGGAGGAAUACCGGUUGCGAAGGCGGAUAGCUGGUCCAACACUGACACUAAGACCCGAAAGCGUGGGGAUCAAACAGGAUUAGAUACCCUGGUAGUCCACGCCGUAAACGAUGGAUACUUGUUGUUGGAGGUAUUGACCCCUUCAGUGACGAAGCUAACGCGUUAAGUAUCCCGCCUGGGAAGUACGGUCGCAAGAUUAAAACUCAAAGAAAUUGACGGGGGCCCGCACAAGCGGUGGAGCAUGUGGUUUAAUUCGAUGCAACGCGAAAACCUUACCUGGGUUUGAAAUAGACAAGAAAAGUACCAGAAAUGGUCUCUCGCAGAGCUUGUUUACAGUGCUGCAUGCUGUCGUCAGCUGUGUCGUGAGAUUGUUGGGUUAGUCCCGCACGAGCGCACCUGCUUUAGUGCAGCAUUUAGUUGGGCCACUCUAGGGGACUGCGACGUUAGUCGGAGAG